UCCUUGGUAGUCCAGUGGUUAAGACUCCAUGCUUCCAAAGCAGGGGGCCCAGGUUCAGUUCCUGGUUGGGGAA
Molecule: transfer RNA, 73 nt
Filed under: Ovis aries (sheep)
Lineage: Eukaryota; Metazoa; Chordata; Mammalia; Artiodactyla; Bovidae
Rfam family: tRNA
About the family: Transfer RNA (tRNA) molecules are approximately 80 nucleotides in length.
Source: Rfam by way of RNAcentral